RNAcentral lists this Y RNA (96 nucleotides) under Propithecus coquereli (Coquerel's sifaka). RNAcentral describes it as "Y RNA (ENSPCOG00000011948.1)". It matches the Rfam family "Y RNA". Rfam says of the family: Y RNAs are components of the Ro ribonucleoprotein particle (Ro RNP), in association with Ro60 and La proteins. The Y RNAs and Ro60 and La proteins are well conserved, but the function of the Ro RNP is not known. Lineage: Eukaryota; Metazoa; Chordata; Mammalia; Primates; Indriidae. The record is from Rfam by way of RNAcentral.
GGCUGGUCCAAUGGUAGAGGGUUAUCAGAAUUUAUUAACAUUAGUGUUACUAAAGUUGGUAUUCAACCCCCCACUGCUAAAUUUGACUGGCUUUAA